This is a non-coding RNA of Parasteatoda tepidariorum (common house spider), 2959 nucleotides long. The record is from RefSeq and is a predicted model, not a curated record. Lineage: Eukaryota; Metazoa; Arthropoda; Arachnida; Araneae; Theridiidae.
UUCACCCCACACCCGAAGUGAACUUUCCUCGUAACCAUAGUAACCGCCACGACGCGAGACGGGUGUCUGGAGGAGUUCUCCUGAAAGCCGCACGCAUCAAGGGAUCAAAAACAAAUACAGUGUACACGCAGGUACUUAUUUUAACCUACCAUUUCUAAAAGUUGUUAGAAGCACUAAUAUGCUGUCGGCAUUCCUUAGAAUGUGGUUAUUUUUUCUUAAAAGGGAAAAGAAAAAAGAUCACAGUGAAUUUUAUCAUCUGAUUUCAUUUUAGCUCCAACUCACCGAUAAAAGUGCGUUUAAACAAAAAGCACAGCUUACUUUGAAAGUUUUUGAGUUUUAAAUUUUUUUAUAAUUUAAAGAGAAAAAAAAACUGAUAUUGAAUUCAUUACAUAGUUCUUAUGAGUAACUAAACAGUAAAGGUAUUUUACUUGGUUGAAAGUCAUCUAUAGUAUUGAGAAACAUGUAUUUUAUAAGUCGUUAUAAAGUCUGAGAAGGUAUUUAUUUUUAUUUUUAACAGAGUAAGAACUGUAUUAUUUAAACAAGGAAAUCAAAAUCUAGGGAAUCAUUAUUGAGAUCAUUUACUGUAAGGUGAAAUAAAAAUAUCAAAACUUAAUUUAACUGUCGGAUAAAACUGGGUCGUUAGUAUUUUUUCCUUUAACUAUUUUUCUGGUAUUAAAUAAUAUUUUUUAAUAAUUUUUUAUGGUAAACAGCAAGAAUUCCACUGUCCUUUAAUAUAUUUUUACCCAUCUGGAAUAACUUAGACAUUUCUUUUAAUCUAAAUCAUGUUUCAGUAAUUAAGACAACUUUGCUCGAAGCUGUCAUUUUCGUAAUGGCACGUUUUGCAGGUCCUCAUUAAGUAUUCCGCUUAAUUUAUACAGUGCUUAAUCGAAAAACUCGCUCAUUUAAACUUGCAUCUAUUGCUUGAUAAGGCAUAUGAUUUGAAUAAUUCUUAAUCAAAAAUAAUCAUCAAGUGACCUGUGGUUAACGGUAACAAGCAUUUCAAAAGGUAAGUCAAGCAUGUUCUUGCAUAAGCCUUGUUCGACCUCGUUGGUCAGCUGACCAAUCAGCCAGUUGGAGCUACUUUCCUUGUACUUAAUGAAGUUGGCGCAUUUUCCAUUCGUCUUGAAAAAUCGAUCAUGCUGGCAUAACACUUAUCUUUUGGAACAGAAUGAAACUUCCUGGAAGUGAAGACUCGCCAAUUUAUGUGUUUUCGAACUCUAUUUAUGCUUCAAAUGGCGUGCGUUGUCUGACAUUUGUUACGGAAAUAUUUUCCGGAACAAUAGGAAACAGAAAACACUGCUCCUGCUUGACUAUCUUUCCUUCUUGACAGACAUAGUUUAUGGACAGUUGAAGAAUUCCUCAUUCGAUUUAGUUCUAGAAAAAUCUUGUGUUAAAUCAAUUUAAACAUUGUUUUAUGUUUCAAGAGAGAGAGAUGGCACUGUUGAACCAGAAGUUAUAUUCAAAUAUUCUCUAGCCUGUUGAAAUAUGAAUUUUGUUUUUGUAACUUAAAAAUAUCAUUGUUUUAAGCUCUUCGAUUUUCCUUAAAUUAUGCUGAGUGUUUAAAGAAACAGGUUUGGUUAGAAUUAUUCUGCACGUUACAGAUUAGGAGCUGUUUUAUAAAUUUUAGUUUAAAGUGUGCCAUUUUUUAUGACCUACGCCAUUUUUAAAGUUUACUUUGAAAGACAGCGUGUUCCAAAAAGACUUUAUGUAUUCUUGGAAUCCUAAUAGAUAAUAGUGUAUAUUCUUGGCCUGGAGGUAGCAAAUUAGUAAUUAACCGAGGAAGAAAACCAAAACUCUAUCGAAAUCUGAAAAGUCACGGUACAGGAGGGUGAAAUGUAAUAAACUUCAAGACAGAUUGGAUUGCUGAAAGAAAAAGAGGUGUUGAAGCACUAUUAUUAGAAACAUCUCCAAAUUCCAACCUGUUUUAUUGUUCAUUACAUUCGCUUUCCUCUAUUGUACUUUUUCAGAUUUUGAUAGCGCUUUUGAUUUUUCUUGCUUAAAUAUUACCAAUUUGUAUACUUUUUUGUUUUCAUUUUUGAUAAGGGUUCUGAAAAUACAUACUAAGGGUAGUCUUUACCGAACACCAUGUAUAUCUUUGUGCAUGGUUAUCGACUGACAUUGAGAGUUAGAAAAUCGUUGUUAUAGUUAAUUUUCAUAGUUUUUUUUUUGUUUUAAAGAUUUAAAACUAAAUUUGAUGUUUUUUGAUGUUGAAAUUGUUUCCUCCUCAAUAUUUUUAUUUAAACAAUGUUAAUAUUGUUUGUUUUGAGCAAAACUGUGAAUUUUUUAAAAAUAAACCCUCUCUUGUACCUGAAUAAUAUAUUCAAGUUUACUCUUGAUUUAUCAGACGGGGACUAUAAAAUAACUAUUUAAUUUUCUGUAGUAGGUCCCAAAUAUAAUUUUUUUGUGAAAAAUGCUAUGUUUACACAAUAGGGCGUUACAAAUUAAUAUUAAAGCGAGGAAAAAAGAACAGUACAAAAAACUGAUUUAUCACUACUAAGGAAAAAGAGUGAAAAUGGUAAGAGUUUGAAAAUGAUAGUUAGAAAUACGAGUUUUAUCAGGUAAACUUGUUUUGGCGCUUUUCCAACCGCCUUCCUCAUUAGUGAUUUAUUAGAUUUUGUCCAGCUUUUUUUUUAUUUUUAUUUAUUUAUUUAUUUUUUUGUUUGAAUUUAAAUUUUACCCCUAAUGCUAAUGACUAGGUAAGGGUAGUUAUUACGGAAUGCAUUGCAUUUAGUGAUUUUUUAAAAGUCAAAUGCGAAUUACUGAAUGAUAAACUACUAAGGUUGCUACUUUUGUUUUUACAGUGCCAUAUCUGGAAAACAGUUUUAAAUGCAAGGUAUUUUAUUGUAUAUUGGAUAAUGUAAAUAUGAAAUUAUAAAUUAUGUAUCAUACAAAAUGUGUACAUACCUAAAGACCUUUUAUGAUGUAUAAAAAAUAGUAUAAAUAAAUACUUUAUUUUGUA